Molecule: RNA transcript, 1886 nt
Organism: Armigeres subalbatus
Lineage: Eukaryota; Metazoa; Arthropoda; Insecta; Diptera; Culicidae
Gene: Skp2
Gene name: S-phase kinase-associated protein 2
Exons: 2
Source: RefSeq, a predicted model, not a curated record
UUGCUUGCAGAAACAGCUGAUUGAAUACAAAAACAAAAUUCCACUAUUACCUAUUAUCUUUUUUUUUUAAAUCUCAAUAAAAAUGGACUUAAAUGUGCUAAAAAUCUGCAUUAGAAAUUUUCCAGAAUCGUUCCGGGAAUCAGAUAUCAAGGAGUUCCUUUCGCGGUUCGGUAUCGGUAGUGUAGAGUGCCUCAAGCGACGAAGAAAAAUCUCGGCAAUCGUUCACUGUUUGGAUGCCGCGCUUGCGAAGUGCCUGAUUGCGCGCCUACAUCAGCUGACAAUCCUCGACAAACGGCUAAUGGUUGAGUAUUACGAUGCGCCGUCCGAAGUGGAGAUUGUGGAUGCUGAAAGUGGGAGUCAAAGCAAACAGAACCAAAGCGAUUCGCCUCAAAAGUUGUGUAAAUUCGUGGAAGCCCUUCAUGCGGUGCAUCCGGUGGACUUUGACCAGCCUCCGCCACCGUACCUCCGAUAUCGGUAUCCUCGACCAACUCGGGAGAUAAUCGACAGUAUCUGCGUUGCCUUGGAAUCGGUUCCGAAAUUCUACACCCAAGUACUACAUCUCAUGAACCGGAUGAAUCUUCCUCCUCCUUUCGUGGCAAAGGAUGUUCAAAGGAACCGCUGUGUAGUAGAAAAGAAAAAUGCAUCGCAACAAACUGAUCCUGUACGAGUCAAAGAGUCUCUCCUAGUAGAUGAUGAAUCCGAAUUAGAGUCGGACGAAGAUUUGACCCCAACAGGUCCGGUCAAACGAAAGCGUGGCUUGGACUACAAUCGACCUAAGCCAUAUAAUUUACCGCAAGUCGUCAAUGUUCCUCAAACCGAUUCAAAGUCGAAAUCUUCCAUGCAGCAGCCAAAACCGUCCCUUAAAACGGGUCAAAACAUAAUUCUACGAAUACCAGAAGAACUCAAAACAACUAAACUUCCAUCCUAUUCACCGCCAAAAUCUCCCACACCUCCUCCGACCAACCGCCCUACAACCGUUACUGAAAUCGACCCUCUGACCAACCGAAUACCUUCGGACCAGCUGGCGGAACUGCCCGUGUUCAAAAACUACCACCCCGGUGAACCGUCCAACAAACUCUACCUGAAGAAUCUCGCCAAAACGGUUUCCGAGGAGGACCUGAAACGAAUCUUCCAUCGGUUCGCCAUCACGGGUGACCCCGCUCGGGAAAUCGACAUCAAACUGAUGCAGACCGGCCGCAUGAAGGGGCAGGCCUUUGUCACCUUUUCCUACAUCUACGAAGAGGACCUGGAACAACUGAAGGAACGGCCAAUCGCACGUGCCCUACGGCUCACGAAUGGGCUCUUGCUCAAGGACAAACCCAUGGUGGUGGUGUACGGGAAAAGCAACACUAGCGCGAAAUCAGAACGAGGGGAGACAGCGUCGUAGGCUGCCAGUUGGUUUCGGGGCUCGCAUAGACUGAGCACAGAGAGGAGAAAGUUUUUGCGCGUUCGUUUAUGUGUUGUUAUGACGCCGUUAAAAAUAUAUGCUUAUGCAAAUGAGUAACGCGAGAGGACUACGCAAACAAUCCGAAGAAAUAUUUGCGCAUGGAUCGAAACGAAAAGGUGACGGAAUUUCGCGAAGUUUCGUGAUUAAGUUUGAAUUUAUCGAGUAGUUAUGUGCGGUUAUUGAUUGAAAGUUUCUCUGAUGGAUACUAACCGAAAGUGUGGAACCAACGAGAUAGCUGCAUAUAAAAGUUGAGCAUUACUUUGUUCAGUAUUUCAUCACUUUGUACGUAUUAGGGCAACGACUGCAAUGUUUUAAUUCACGACAUUGAUAUCAAGUGACAUAGUUCUCAGUCCGGACGACAAAUAUUAACAGGUGUUCGGUUUAAAUGAGAAUGAUAUGGAAUUAUUAGAAUAACGUGGAAAUAAAUUUAUUUGAAGUU